GUAGGUGAACCUGCGGAAGGAUCAUUACUGAACCAACACCGUCCACCUUCUUGUAGUGGACCAUUCAACGGCCUGUCAUCGGAAUUUGAUGAUGAUCAACUCGGCUCGUUGGCCAACAUUGGGCGAUGGGUGCUUCUUGAUUUUGAUGCUCAUUUACCAGGUUGGAUUGAGACGCUCAUCACUUAGUGCCUACAUGUGGCAGACCUGUGUGGGAUGGGUGCCUUUUUCAAGAGGUUGAAGUUGGUCAGAU
Molecule: unclassified non-coding RNA, 250 nt
Filed under: plant metagenome
Description: partial contains small subunit ribosomal RNA, internal transcribed spacer 1, and 5.8S ribosomal RNA
Source: RNAcentral